UNGGUCUUAAGCGUGGCUCGUUGCUGUU
Molecule: non-coding RNA, 28 nt
Filed under: Mus musculus (house mouse)
Lineage: Eukaryota; Metazoa; Chordata; Mammalia; Rodentia; Muridae
Source: RNAcentral